Molecule: ribosomal RNA, 2932 nt
Filed under: Escherichia coli
Lineage: Bacteria; Pseudomonadati; Pseudomonadota; Gammaproteobacteria; Enterobacterales; Enterobacteriaceae
Description: 23S ribosomal RNA
Rfam family: Bacterial large subunit ribosomal RNA
Source: RNAcentral
GGGUUGUGAGGUUAAGCGACUAAGCGUACACGGUGGAUGCCCUGGCAGUCAGAGGCGAUGAAGGACGUGCUAAUCUGCGAUAAGCGUCGGUAAGGUGAUAUGAACCGUUAUAACCGGCGAUUUCCGAAUGGGGAAACCCAGUGUGUUUCGACACACUAUCAUUAACUGAAUCCAUAGGUUAAUGAGGCGAACCGGGGGAACUGAAACAUCUAAGUACCCCGAGGAAAAGAAAUCAACCGAGAUUCCCCCAGUAGCGGCGAGCGAACGGGGAGCAGCCCAGAGCCUGAAUCAGUGUGUGUGUUAGUGGAAGCGUCUGGAAAGGCGCGCGAUACAGGGUGACAGCCCCGUACACAAAAAUGCACAUACUGUGAGCUCGAUGAGUAGGGCGGGACACGUGGUAUCCUGUCUGAAUAUGGGGGGACCAUCCUCCAAGGCUAAAUACUCCUGACUGACCGAUAGUGAACCAGUACCGUGAGGGAAAGGCGAAAAGAACCCCGGCGAGGGGAGUGAAAAAGAACCUGAAACCGUGUACGUACAAGCAGUGGGAGCCUCUUUAUGGGGUGACUGCGUACCUUUUGUAUAAUGGGUCAGCGACUUAUAUUCUGUAGCAAGGUUAACCGAAUAGGGGAGCCGAAGGGAAACCGAGUCUUAACUGGGCGUUAAGUUGCAGGGUAUAGACCCGAAACCCGGUGAUCUAGCCAUGGGCAGGUUGAAGGUUGGGUAACACUAACUGGAGGACCGAACCGACUAAUGUUGAAAAAUUAGCGGAUGACUUGUGGCUGGGGGUGAAAGGCCAAUCAAACCGGGAGAUAGCUGGUUCUCCCCGAAAGCUAUUUAGGUAGCGCCUCGUGAAUUCAUCUCCGGGGGUAGAGCACUGUUUCGGCAAGGGGGUCAUCCCGACUUACCAACCCGAUGCAAACUGCGAAUACCGGAGAAUGUUAUCACGGGAGACACACGGCGGGUGCUAACGUCCGUCGUGAAGAGGGAAACAACCCAGACCGCCAGCUAAGGUCCCAAAGUCAUGGUUAAGUGGGAAACGAUGUGGGAAGGCCCAGACAGCCAGGAUGUUGGCUUAGAAGCAGCCAUCAUUUAAAGAAAGCGUAAUAGCUCACUGGUCGAGUCGGCCUGCGCGGAAGAUGUAACGGGGCUAAACCAUGCACCGAAGCUGCGGCAGCGACGCUUAUGCGUUGUUGGGUAGGGGAGCGUUCUGUAAGCCUGUGAAGGUGUACUGUGAGGUAUGCUGGAGGUAUCAGAAGUGCGAAUGCUGACAUAAGUAACGAUAAAGCGGGUGAAAAGCCCGCUCGCCGGAAGACCAAGGGUUCCUGUCCAACGUUAAUCGGGGCAGGGUGAGUCGACCCCUAAGGCGAGGCCGAAAGGCGUAGUCGAUGGGAAACAGGUUAAUAUUCCUGUACUUGGUGUUACUGCGAAGGGGGGACGGAGAAGGCUAUGUUGGCCGGGCGACGGUUGUCCCGGUUUAAGCGUGUAGGCUGGUUUUCCAGGCAAAUCCGGAAAAUCAAGGCUGAGGCGUGAUGACGAGGCACUACGGUGCUGAAGCAACAAAUGCCCUGCUUCCAGGAAAAGCCUCUAAGCAUCAGGUAACAUCAAAUCGUACCCCAAACCGACACAGGUGGUCAGGUAGAGAAUACCAAGGCGCUUGAGAGAACUCGGGUGAAGGAACUAGGCAAAAUGGUGCCGUAACUUCGGGAGAAGGCACGCUGAUAUGUAGGUGAAGCGACUUGCUCGUGGAGCUGAAAUCAGUCGAAGAUACCAGCUGGCUGCAACUGUUUAUUAAAAACACAGCACUGUGCAAACACGAAAGUGGACGUAUACGGUGUGACGCCUGCCCGGUGCCGGAAGGUUAAUUGAUGGGGUUAGCGGCAACGCGAAGCUCUUGAUCGAAGCCCCGGUAAACGGCGGCCGUAACUAUAACGGUCCUAAGGUAGCGAAAUUCCUUGUCGGGUAAGUUCCGACCUGCACGAAUGGCGUAAUGAUGGCCAGGCUGUCUCCACCCGAGACUCAGUGAAAUUGAACUCGCUGUGAAGAUGCAGUGUACCCGCGGCAAGACGGAAAGACCCCGUGAACCUUUACUAUAGCUUGACACUGAACAUUGAGCCUUGAUGUGUAGGAUAGGUGGGAGGCUUUGAAGUGUGGACGCCAGUCUGCAUGGAGCCGACCUUGAAAUACCACCCUUUAAUGUUUGAUGUUCUAACGUUGGCCCCUUAUCGGGGUUGCGGACAGUGUCUGGUGGGUAGUUUGACUGGGGCGGUCUCCUCCUAAAGAGUAACGGAGGAGCACGAAGGUUGGCUAAUCCUGGUCGGACAUCAGGAGGUUAGUGCAAUGGCAUAAGCCAGCUUGACUGCGAGCGUGACGGCGCGAGCAGGUGCGAAAGCAGGUCAUAGUGAUCCGGUGGUUCUGAAUGGAAGGGCCAUCGCUCAACGGAUAAAAGGUACUCCGGGGAUAACAGGCUGAUACCGCCCAAGAGUUCAUAUCGACGGCGGUGUUUGGCACCUCGAUGUCGGCUCAUCACAUCCUGGGGCUGAAGUAGGUCCCAAGGGUAUGGCUGUUCGCCAUUUAAAGUGGUACGCGAGCUGGGUUUAGAACGUCGUGAGACAGUUCGGUCCCUAUCUGCCGUGGGCGCUGGAGAACUGAGGGGGGCUGCUCCUAGUACGAGAGGACCGGAGUGGACGCAUCACUGGUGUUCGGGUUGUCAUGCCAAUGGCACUGCCCGGUAGCUAAAUGCGGAAGAGAUAAGUGCUGAAAGCAUCUAAGCACGAAACUUGCCCCGAGAUGAGUUCUCCCUGACCCUUUAAGGGUCCUGAAGGAACGUUGAAGACGACGACGUUGAUAGGCCGGGUGUGUAAGCGCAGCGAUGCGUUGAGCUAACCGGUACUAAUGAACCGUGAGGCUUAACCUUACAACGCCGAAGGUGUUU